GGGCCCGCACAAGCGGCGGAGCAUGUUGCUUAAUUCGACGCAACGCGAAGAACCUUACCAAGGUUUGACAUGCAGGGAAAAGCCGUAGAGAUACGGUGUCCGUAAGGGUCCUGCACAGGUGGUGCAUGGCUGUCGUCAGCUCGUGUCGUGAGAUGUUGGGUUAAGUCCCGCAACGAGCGCAACCCUCGUCCUAUGUUGCCAGCGGGUUAUGCCGGGGACUCAUAGGAGACUGCCGGGGUCAACUCGGAGGAAGGUGGGGAUGACGUCAAGUCCUCAUGCCCCUUAUAUCUUGGGCUGCAAACAUGCUACAAUGGCCGGUACAGAGGGCUGCGAGACCGUAAGGUGGAGCGAAUCUCAAAAAGCCGGUCUCAGUUCGGAUUGGGGUCUGCAACUCGACCCCAUGAAGUCGGAGUCGCUAGUAAUCGCGAAUCAGCAACGUCGCGGUGAAUACGUUCCCGGGCCUU
Molecule: ribosomal RNA, 464 nt
Filed under: uncultured bacterium
Lineage: Bacteria
Description: bacterial SSU rRNA
Rfam family: Bacterial small subunit ribosomal RNA
Source: RNAcentral